This 247-nucleotide ribosomal RNA is filed under the name uncultured phototrophic eukaryote. RNAcentral's name for it is "partial 16S ribosomal RNA". It matches the Rfam family "Bacterial small subunit ribosomal RNA", at positions 439 to 700 of the family's 1533-position model. The record is from RNAcentral.
UCAGGGAGGAAUAAAUGACGUGUACCUGAAGAAUAAGCAUCGGCUAACUCCGUGCCAGCAGCCGCGGUAAGACGGAGGAUGCAAGUGUUAUCCGGAAUCACUGGGCGUAAAGCGUCUGUAGGUGGUUUAAUAAGUCAACUGUUAAAUCUUAAGGCUCAACCUUGAAAUCGCAGUCGAAACUAUUAGACUAGAGUAUAGUAGGGGUAAAGGGAAUUUCCAGUGGAGCGGUGAAAUGCGUAGAUAUUGG